UCGAGGAUCUUCGGCAAUGGGCGCAAGCCUGACCGAGCGACGCCGCGUGUGCGAUGAAGGCCUUCGGGUUGUAAAGCACUGUCGAGAGGAAGAAAUACCCGCAAGGGUUUGAUCGACCUCUGGAGGAAGCACGGGCUAAGUUCGUGCCAGCAGCCGCGGUAAGACGAACCGUGCUAACGUUAUUCGGAAUCACUGGGCUUAAAGGGCGCGUAGGCGGGCUCGCAAGUCAGGGGUGAAAGCCCACAGCUCAACUGUGGAAGUGCCUUUGAUACUGCGAGUCUCGAGGGAGGUAGGGGCGUGCGGAACUUCCGGUGGAGCGGUGAAAUGCGUAGAUAUCGGAAGGAACACCGGUGGCGAAAGCGGCGCGCUGGACCUCUUCUGACGCUGAGGCGCGAAAGCCAGGGGAGCAAACGGGAUUAGAUACCCCCGUAGUCC
RNAcentral lists this ribosomal RNA (435 nucleotides) under uncultured bacterium. RNAcentral's name for it is "bacterial SSU rRNA". It matches the Rfam family "Bacterial small subunit ribosomal RNA", at positions 355 to 796 of the family's 1533-position model. The record is from RNAcentral.